This is a long non-coding RNA of Dipodomys spectabilis (banner-tailed kangaroo rat), 237 nucleotides long. RefSeq lists it as uncharacterized. The record is from RefSeq and is a predicted model, not a curated record. NCBI's taxonomy places the organism in Eukaryota, Metazoa, Chordata, Mammalia, Rodentia, Heteromyidae. The transcript is spliced from 3 exons.
GGUCCUGUGCUUUGUUUUAAAAGACUGUUUCAUUGAGGAAUGCCUUCCAGUACAAAAUGACAAAUGCCUCCAAGUCUCAAGAAAACACUUUUUUUUGUAGCCAAAUGACUAUUAGAUAUCUCAGAUCUUUUCUGUGGCCUGGUCAUAUAGCCAGGGUUAUACAGAAAUUAAUGAUUUUCUACUCAAAUAAGGUAACUGAGUGAAGAAGUGAAGGUUUAAAUCAGAAGCCAUUCCUUU